AUGCGGGAGGAGAGCGAGGGAAUGGAAUUCCUACUUGAUGCGGUCGACAGGUUCCCGGUGCGGGAGGAGUAUGCCGACAAUAUUGAACACCCAGAUCCAAUCCCACUGAUGUACCUACUGGAUAAGGGUACUGCUAACCCGGAUGUUCACCAAGCGGAUGUUGAUUCUGCGGCAGCUGAGAUGUUCGGAGAUGGUUUGCUCAGCGAGGGGCAGGUGGGCUGCCAACGUAGACGUGAGGAAUCUCCGACAAGGUCUGCCCAAUCGACCGGCAGGGUAAAUCCACAGGCCCCCGGAUGGACUAAAAGGCUCCGUCUCGGGAGUGCGCCACCCGACCGUGUGCCUUGUCCAUCUAGGAUGAGCGCACUGGAGCUAUCAAUGCGCAAAUAUGUCGAGCAACCGGACAAGAGUGUGGUGCAUCCUGAGCUAGGCCUUAGUUUUGAUUCACUUGGUGAGGCGUACGAUUUCUACAACUUGUAUUCCUGGGAAAUUGGAUUCGGAAUAAGAUAUGGAAAGAGCAGGUUGAAUGCUGAGAGGAAGAAAACCAUGCAGGAAAUAGUAUGUGGUUGUUCGAUGCCGAGAAUAGCAGGUCAUGCAGGUGCGAGUGCCCGGCUCUAA
RNAcentral lists this ribosomal RNA (615 nucleotides) under Triticum aestivum (bread wheat). Its description in RNAcentral is "partial small subunit ribosomal RNA". The record is from RNAcentral. Lineage: Eukaryota; Viridiplantae; Streptophyta; Magnoliopsida; Poales; Poaceae.